Molecule: long non-coding RNA, 153 nt
Organism: Xenia sp. Carnegie-2017
Lineage: Eukaryota; Metazoa; Cnidaria; Anthozoa; Malacalcyonacea; Xeniidae
Exons: 3
Source: RefSeq, a predicted model, not a curated record
AGUCAUCAGGAACCACUGUAUUUGAUGAUGAAACAGAUUUUCAAAAUUCUCUUCCUGUUUAUGUUACUUAGGAUAUGUCACUUGAUGGGUUACACACAUCAUACCAGUGAAGAUUGGACUCUGAUGUUUUCGAAGGAAAAAGAAAUUUUAUCG